UACGGAGGGUGCAAGCGUUAUUCGGAUUUACUGGGCGUAAAGCGCGUGUAGGCGGUUUGGUAAGUUUGGUGUGAAAUCCCCGGACUUAAUUCGGGAAGUGCAUUGAAUACUGCCAGACUGGAGUACAGGAGAGGAGAGUGGAAUUUCUGGUGUAGAGGUGAAAUUCGUAGAUAUCAGAAGGAACAACAGAGGCGAAGGCGACUCUCUGGACUGUCACUGACGCUAAGGCGCGAAAGCGUGGGGAGCAAACAGG
RNAcentral lists this ribosomal RNA (253 nucleotides) under uncultured bacterium. RNAcentral describes it as "partial 16S ribosomal RNA". It matches the Rfam family "Bacterial small subunit ribosomal RNA", at positions 524 to 776 of the family's 1533-position model. The record is from RNAcentral.